GACGAACGCUGGCGGCGUGCUUAACACAUGCAAGUCGAACGGAAAGGCCCUUCGGGGUACUCGAGUGGCGAACGGGUGAGUAACACGUGGGUGAUCUGCCCUGCACUUUGGGAUAAGCCUGGGAAACUGGGUCUAAUACCGAAUAGGACCACGCGCUUCAUGGUGUGUGGUGGAAAGCUUUUGCGGUGUGGGAUGGGCCCGCGGCCUAUCAGCUUGUUGGUGGGGUAAUGGCCUACCAAGGCGACGACGGGUAGCCGGCCUGAGAGGGUGACCGGCCACACUGGGACUGAGAUACGGCCCAGACUCCUACGGGAGGCAGCAGUGGGGAAUAUUGCACAAUGGGCGCAAGCCUGAUGCAGCGACGCCGCGUGAGGGAUGACGGCCUUCGGGUUGUAAACCUCUUUCAAUAGGGACGAAGCGCAGGUGACGGUACCUAUAGAAGAAGCACCGGCCAACUACGUG
This 462-nucleotide ribosomal RNA is filed under the name uncultured bacterium. RNAcentral's name for it is "partial 16S ribosomal RNA". It matches the Rfam family "Bacterial small subunit ribosomal RNA", at positions 28 to 507 of the family's 1533-position model. The record is from RNAcentral.